Molecule: unclassified non-coding RNA, 299 nt
Filed under: plant metagenome
Description: partial contains small subunit ribosomal RNA, internal transcribed spacer 1, and 5.8S ribosomal RNA
Source: RNAcentral
UUUCCGCAGGUGAACCUGCGGAAGGAUCAUUAUCGAAUCUCGAGGGGAAGGAAGUUGAUGAGUGGAGACAGUCGCUGGCUUUCCCACCUGGGAAGCAUGUGCACGCCUUGCUUUUCUUUGACCUUUCUCUUACUCUCACACCUGUGCACCCAUUGUAGGUCCUCGAAAGAGGAUCUAUGUUUUUAUCAUCACACGCAUAGUAUGUCCAUAGAAUGUAACAUGAUCGUCAAUCGACCUCGCAGUCGAGAGGCGGUCUAAAUAAAUAAAUACAACUUUCAGCAACGGAUCUCUUGGCUCUC